UGUUAAAAAAUUCAUCUAUUUCUACUGUUAAAAACUGGCAUUAUUGACAGAUUAAUUAAAAAGUUACACAUGGCAUGCCAUGUGCACCUCAUUCUGAUAUAUAGGGAUCAGUUUUUAACAGUAGAAAUGAAUGAAAUUUUUAAUA
Molecule: non-coding RNA, 145 nt
Organism: Gossypium hirsutum (cotton)
Lineage: Eukaryota; Viridiplantae; Streptophyta; Magnoliopsida; Malvales; Malvaceae
Source: Rfam